AAAUAUAUUAUUAUAUAAUAUUUUAUUUAUAAAUAUAUAAUAAUUAUUUUAUAAUAUUAAAUAUAUAUUAUUAUAUAUUAUAUUACAUAUUUAUUAUAUAAUAUAAUAUUUAUUAUAUAAUAUAUAAUAUAUAAAUUAUAAUAAUUAAAUAUAUUAUGAUAAUUGUUAUAUAUUAAUAAUAUAUAAUAUAUAUAAUUAGAGAAUAUAUAUAUAUAUAAUAAUUAUAAUAUACUAAUAAUAUAUAUAAUAAAAAAUAUAUUAAAUAGUUUUUCAUCUAUUUUUUUUUUCUUUCAACCAAACAGCUGUUAUGAAAAAAUACUUUUCUUUCCCUACAAACCAAACACAAACGACGUAAAACUUUUUUUCACUAAAAAUUUUUUUUUCCACCGAAAUUUUUUUUUUUCACAGUUUUACGUGGAACCAAAUACACCCCCAGGCAGA
RNAcentral lists this long non-coding RNA (441 nucleotides) under Ananas comosus (pineapple). RNAcentral's name for it is "long non-coding RNA (ACOM_LNC002674)". The record is from RNAcentral. Lineage: Eukaryota; Viridiplantae; Streptophyta; Magnoliopsida; Poales; Bromeliaceae.